Molecule: unclassified non-coding RNA, 172 nt
Filed under: soil metagenome
Description: partial internal transcribed spacer 1
Source: RNAcentral
CCAGAGUAGACCCUAAACCGUCCUCAUCAAACCCUCGCGCCAUCGUACACACAUUAAGUGUUGUUCGGCGCGCCGCUCCGAGGCUUUCACACGGGCGCCGCCGGCGGGAAGUAUCACAAACUCUUAUUCUAAAGCAGUACAUCCUGAGACCUCUGAUCUAAUACAUUGUCAC